This 254-nucleotide ribosomal RNA is filed under the name uncultured bacterium. Its description in RNAcentral is "partial 16S ribosomal RNA". It matches the Rfam family "Bacterial small subunit ribosomal RNA", at positions 524 to 776 of the family's 1533-position model. The record is from RNAcentral.
CACGUAGGGCGCGAGCGUUGUCCGGAAUUAUUGGGCGUAAAGAGCUCGUAGGCGGCCUGUUGCGUCCGCUGUGAAAACUCGAGGCUCAACCUCGAGACGCCGAUGGAAACCGUCUGGCUAGAGUCCGGAAGAGGAGAGUGGAAUUCCUGGUGUAGCGGUGAAAUGCGCAGAUAUCAGGAAGAACACCCCGUGGCUAAGGCGGCUCUCUAGUACGGUACUGACGCUGAGACGCGAAAGCGUGGGGAGCGAACAGG